This 497-nucleotide ribosomal RNA is filed under the name uncultured bacterium. RNAcentral describes it as "partial 16S ribosomal RNA". It matches the Rfam family "Bacterial small subunit ribosomal RNA", at positions 28 to 507 of the family's 1533-position model. The record is from RNAcentral.
GAUGAACGCUGGCGGCGUGCCUAAUACAUGCAAGUCGAGCGAACAGACGAGGAGCUUGCUCCUCUGACGUUAGCGGCGGACGGGUGAGUAACACGUGGAUAACCUACCUAUAAGACUGGGAUAACUUCGGGAAACCGGAGCUAAUACCGGAUAAUAUAUUGAACCGCAUGGUUCAAUAGUGAAAGACGGUUUUGCUGUCACUAAUAGAUGGAUCCGCGCCGCAUUAGCUAGUUGGUAAGGUAACGGCUUACCAAGGCAACGAUGCGUAGCCGACCUGAGAGGGGGAUAGGCCACACGGGAACUGGACCACGGACCAGAGUCCUGCGGGAGGCAGCAGUAGGGAAUCUUACGCAAUGGGCGGAAGCAUGACGGAGCAACGCCGCGUGAGUGAUGAAGGUCUUCGGAUCGUAAAACUCUGUUAUUAGGGAAGAACAAAUGUGGAAGUAACUAUGCACGUCUUGACGGUACCUAAUCAGAAAGCAACGGCUAACUACGUG